This 481-nucleotide ribosomal RNA is filed under the name uncultured bacterium. RNAcentral describes it as "partial 16S ribosomal RNA". It matches the Rfam family "Bacterial small subunit ribosomal RNA", at positions 30 to 507 of the family's 1533-position model. The record is from RNAcentral.
UUGCACGCUGGCGGCAUGCCUUACACAUGCAAAUCGAACGGUAACGGGCCUUCGGGUGCCGACGAGUGGCGAACGGGUGAGUAAUACAUCGGAACGUGCCCGAUCGUGGGGGAUAACGAGGCGAAAGCUUUGCUAAUACCGCAUACGAUCUACGGAUGAAAGCAGGGGACCGCAAGGCCUUGCGCGGACGGAGCGGCCGAUGGCAGAUUAGGUAGUUGGUGGGAUAAAAGCUUACCAAGCCGACGAUCUGUAGCUGGUCUGAGAGGAUGAUCAGCCACACUGGGACUGAGACACGGCCCAGACUCCGACGGGAGGCAGCAGUGGGGAAUUUUGGACAAUGGGCGCAAGCCUGAUCCAGCCAUGCCGCGUGCAGGAUGAAGGCCUUCGGGUUGUAAACUGAUUUUGUACGGAACGAAAAGCCUUCUUUUAAUACAGGAGGGUCAUGACGGUACCGUAAGAAUAAGCACCGGCUAACUACGUG